Molecule: ribosomal RNA, 636 nt
Filed under: Triticum aestivum (bread wheat)
Lineage: Eukaryota; Viridiplantae; Streptophyta; Magnoliopsida; Poales; Poaceae
Description: partial small subunit ribosomal RNA
Source: RNAcentral
AUGCUUGGGUCCGCCGAGCCGAAGCGUCCAUGCCAUGCAGACGUUGACGGCGGCGGUGAGGCGGGCGAUGACCGGCUGAGCGCGCUGCCGGACGACCUCCUCCGCGCCAUCCUCUCGCGCCUCAAGGCCCGGCAGGCGGUGCAGACGUGCGCGCUCGCCGCGCGGUGGCGGCACCUCUGGCGCGCCGUGCCGUGUCUCGACAUCAACGAGCGGGAGUUUUAUACCCGCUACAAUCCUGAGUACUUCACGACCAACCUUCUGCGCGACCAAUCUUGGAUUUCCAACCUACGAAGGAGCUAUAUUCAGAAAUUAGAAGCGGGACUGGAUUUAAUGGCAAGCUCCAUCCCUGGCCUGAAUGACUACAUUCAGCAUCAUCUACAAUUCCACAAACCUACUGACAUGGAAAAUGCAUGUUGGCACAGGCCCACACGCACCCGAGCCCCAUCAUCACAACACUCGAAGGCAACACCUUCAAGAGGGGAUUGCUACUCAACCGUCAAUGUUGCCCGACCCAACCAGGAAGAGAAAACUUCAUAUUUGUGUUCAUGGGAGUACUACAGGGAGAGCUAUAUUUCGCCAUGUAUUUGCAUUGUGACCAGGAGGAAAAUUCUAAAUUUUGCCAUCUUUGGAAGAUAA